CAAUAGCGUAUAUUAAAGCUGUUGCGGUUAAAAAGCUCGUAGUUGGAUUUCUGUCAAGUACAACUGGUCCGCCCUCCGGGUGAGCACAUAGUUUGGUCUUGGCAUCUUGCUGGAAAUUGUUGCUGCACUUGGCUGUGUGGCGCAGUGUCCAGCACUUUCACUUUGAGGAAAUUAGAGUGUUCACGGCAGGCAGUCGCCUUGAAUAUAUUAGCAUGGAAUAAUAAUAUAGGACCUUGGUUCUAUUUUGUUGGUUUCUAGAACUUAGGUAAUGAUUAAUAGGGACAAUUGGGGGCAUUUGUAUUAACACGUCAGAGGUGGAAUUCUUGGAUUGUGUUACGACAAACUACUGCGAAAGCAUUUGCCAAGGAUGUUUUCAUUGA
RNAcentral lists this ribosomal RNA (380 nucleotides) under uncultured eukaryote. Its description in RNAcentral is "partial 18S ribosomal RNA". It matches the Rfam family "Eukaryotic small subunit ribosomal RNA", at positions 592 to 976 of the family's 1831-position model. The record is from RNAcentral.